RNAcentral lists this ribosomal RNA (433 nucleotides) under uncultured bacterium. Its description in RNAcentral is "partial 16S ribosomal RNA". It matches the Rfam family "Bacterial small subunit ribosomal RNA", at positions 29 to 507 of the family's 1533-position model. The record is from RNAcentral.
AACGAACGCUGGCGGCAUGCCUAACACAUGCAAGUCGAACGAAGGCUUCGGCCUUAGUGGCGCACGGGUGCGUAACGCGUGGGAAUCUGCCCUUUGGUUCGGAAUAACAGCUGGAAACGGCUGCUAAUACCGGAUGAUGACGAAAGUCCAAAGAUUUAUCGCCAGAGGAUGAGCCCGCGUUGGAUUAGGUAGUUGGUGGGGUAAAGGCCUACCAAGCCGACGAUCCAUAACUGGUCUGAGAGGAUGAUCAGCCACACUGGGACUGAGAAACGGCCCAGACUCCUCCGGGAGGCAGCAGUGGGUAAUAUUGCACCAUGGGCGCAAUCCUGAUCCAGCACUGCUGGGUGAGUGAUGAAGGCCCUAGGGUUGUAAAGCUCUUUUACCCGGGAAGAUAAUGACUGUACCGGGAGAAUAAGCCCCGGCUAACUCCGUG